GAUGAACGCUGGCGGCGUGCUUAAUACAUGCAAGUCGAGCGAACAGACCAUGCUCUUGCUGCUCUCUCGUUAGCGGCAGACGUGUGUGUAACGCGUGUAUCCCCUCCCUAUCAUACUGGUAUAACUUCGGAACACCGGCGCUAAUCCCGGAUAAUCUCUUGAACCACAUUGUUCAUUAGUGAAAUACGGUUUUGCUGUCACUUCUAGCGGGAUCCCCGCUGCAUUAGCUAGUUGUUAAGGUAACGGCUUACCAAGGCAACGAUGCCUAGCCGACGUGAGGGGGGGAUAGGCCACACGGGAACGUAGACAGGGACAAGAGUACUACGGGAGGGAGCAGAAGGGAAUGUUCCGCAAUGGUGGAAAGCCUGACGGAGCAACGCCGCGCGAGUGAUGAAGGUCUUCGGAUCGUAAAAAUCUGUUAUGAGGGAAGAACAGAUGUGUAAGGAACUGUGCACUGAGUGACGGUAACGAAUAAGAAAGCCACGGCUAACUACGUG
This 497-nucleotide ribosomal RNA is filed under the name uncultured bacterium. Its description in RNAcentral is "partial 16S ribosomal RNA". It matches the Rfam family "Bacterial small subunit ribosomal RNA", at positions 28 to 507 of the family's 1533-position model. The record is from RNAcentral.